AAAUAAUGUGCAGUGGACCAUAGAGAAAUAAAAAAAAGAGAGACGUCAAAGGAUAGGGAAUAACUGGCACAAUCUUUCUGCGCAGGUAAGUAGCACAUAGGGGCGCUGCUGUUUCUGAAACUAAAAUUUACCCAUGGUACAAUAAAGUAUUUUGAUUGUACCGUGAAGAAAAUUUACAUUUUUGACAAUUGACAUUGACUUUUUAGGACAAUUGACAUUGACAGUGUUUUUAGGACGCCAUUUUGUUGUGAGAAUUUGCAAUUUCCCGGCCCGGCAUAAAUAGAUAAUUUGGCGGUUUGUACAUGGUUUGUACUGAAUACUACUGAACUGAACAUAUUUUCAUUACUGGAUAGUGCCGGAAUUGCUGAAAUUGAAUAUCGGAUUAGGAGUAUAGACAGACUCGACAAAGACAUCAACUUUUGAAAAGGAUAAUUACGAAGUACAGCAACAUUGAAGAUAACAUUAAUGUCAUUAGGAACUUGGAAUUACAGAGAAGUGAUAUAGACUAAUCAUCAUCAUCAUCAGCCCCUCUAGAUCCACUGCUGGACAUAGGCCUCCCAUGUUUGUAGACAAGUAGACUAAUAGAAUAACAAGUAUAGUGUAAGUACAUGUAAGUAGGUAGGUUAACACCUUGGCUACCGUGUGAGAUGCCAGCAUUUCACACAAAAUAUUGACUGUAAUACCGUGUGAGACGCUGGCUUCCAUUGUUAUUAAAUGAUUUAAAAUGCUCUAAAGCGAGAGUUUUUAGUUUCUCAUAUUGGUUUCAAAAUAAGGAUAAAAUGGUACAAAAUUACAGGUUAUUAGUUUAAGUGAUCGCUAACCAAUGUGUUAAACGUUAAUAAAGGUAUGGUAGUUAUAUUGUAUGUAGGUACAGUUGAGUCCAUGGUUCUCAUUAAUACCUGGAGAGAUAAAACACAUACUUGUUACUUAGCACCAUUGUGUUCCACACAUGACACUAAAGACAAACCAGCUACUGCCUGUUAUUAAGUAAACAUACAUGUUAUUUUUAUGAACUUUCUAGAUUCAGUACAUCGAAAAAAUAGAGGUGCAAAAAAGACGCUUGGGGACGUUUUCAGAUUUAAGUACAAUUUGCAACAUUUCUGGUUUGUUUAUUGUUUGUUUUUCACAACUAAUUUUAUUUUGGCAUUAAUUUACAUACAAAGUUCACCUCAUUCACACAGAUUGUCAUAACCACUUUCUGCCAAUGGACUCAACUGUAAAAUUAGUUUAUCAUUUUAUAGUGUAAAUACAAAUAAAAAACUAGUAUUGUAACAAAAGUCAGUGUUUUGUAAGUAGGUAGAUUAAAUAUCAAUAAAGGUUCUGUUUAGUUACAAUUUAUAGUGGUUAUAUUGUAUGUAGGUAAUAUUAGUUUAUCAUUUUGCAAUGUCAAAUUCUAAAUCCAAACCCAGUAAAUAUGUUCACGGAUGUUUAGCUUCCUAUUGUAAUAACAAGUAUUUUCAUCCUGUCACAGACCCAGAGUAUACAAAUAAAAAGUUUUUUAGAUUUCCAGAUAAAGAUUUAAAAAGACGUCAUGACUGGUUUGAAAUUAUUGGUAUUGAAUUUACUGAAACUAGGUGUUAUUUAUGUGAAGAUCAUUUUGAGGAAACACAAUUUACAAGCAGUUUAAAAACAAAACUAUUAAAUAAUGCAGUGCCCUCCAAAAUAAUUCACAUAUCCAAUGUCCAUGAUCAACUUUUGCCUAUACCUGCACAUUCUUCUGAUGAAAUCUCUGUUUCAAAUGUACACAUUUUUAGUAACAAAGAAAUAGUUCCUCCAUUAAUAACCCAGUCAAGAAUAAAUGCUCAAUUUCCAGUCAGCAUGAUAAUGAGUAUAGUAUUACACCUAAUUUAGACCUAAACACCUAAACAUAUUACACCUAAACAUUAGAAAAAAAGCUGCAACUCGAUAAAACUGCCUUGUCGAAAAAACACUAAGAGCCGAAAAGUUUUAAAAAUAUUGAAUUUAACUAAUGGUAUCACCAUAAUAAUUUAAUUGGAACGUACACAAGAGUUUGGGGGGUUUAAGGGAACAAAACCCCCAUAAAAUUUUUAUGGGGUACACAAAUUUCACUAUAAUUUUUCUUUAAGAUAUUCCUGCCAUAAAAAUGCCACAUGUCCAUUUUCAAUAAAAAAUCUAAUAGUUUUCAAUAUAUUCGAAAAAAUCGAUUUUCAUUUUGUAACUUCAAAGGGCUGUAACUUUUUUUAUGUGUAUAUUUGUAAUAAGGUAAGUUAGGUUCAUUCAAACUAUUUUUGGUCAAAGAAUAGGUGAUUUAGUUUAUGACCUGUAUUUUUGUUACACUCUGUAUAUAUGUAUCCUAUUUUUCUAAAAAGUUCUGAGGGAAAUGUAGAAUAACUUAUAAGGUUUUUUUAGGCUACUAGACAAAUUUGUAAUAUAUAUUUGCAUUUUGUAAAAGAUAGGAUAAUUAAAGAAUAAAGAGCGGGGACAUGCAUGCAUUUUGUGUUGAUCUGUGUUUUACAUCAUUAUUUCAAAACAAUUUUACUGCAUAGAUUUUCUUAUUUUGUUUUAUCAGCACUCCAUACAUGCAUGCGGUAAGUGGGGGGUCCCCGUGAGGAUUAAUAAAAAUAUAAUAUAUGUAGUUUUUUUCCCAGUGUUUAUAUUAUUUUCUAUUUUUCUGAAAGUUCUGAAAAAAAAUAUUUUUCUUUAGAUAUUUUUAGGCUACUAAUCAAACUAGUAAUAUCUGCAUUUUGUAAAAUAUAAGAUGAAUAAAGAGGUCGCCGUGAAGAUUAAUAAAAAUAAAA
Molecule: long non-coding RNA, 2759 nt
Organism: Diabrotica virgifera virgifera (western corn rootworm)
Lineage: Eukaryota; Metazoa; Arthropoda; Insecta; Coleoptera; Chrysomelidae
Exons: 3
Source: RefSeq, a predicted model, not a curated record